This 721-nucleotide ribosomal RNA is filed under the name uncultured bacterium. Its description in RNAcentral is "bacterial SSU rRNA". It matches the Rfam family "Bacterial small subunit ribosomal RNA", at positions 761 to 1487 of the family's 1533-position model. The record is from RNAcentral.
GUGGGACACGGAUUAGAUACCCUGGUAGUCCACGCCGUAAACGAUGAGUACUAAGUGUCGGGUUUUGGCUCGGUACUGAAGUUAACACAUUAAGUACUCCGCCUGAGUAGUACGUACGCAAGUAUGAAACUUAAAGGAAUUGACGGGACCCCGCACAAGCGGUGGAUCAUGUUGUUUAAUUCGAAGAUACACGAAAAACCUUACCAGGUCUUGACAUAAUUUUGCGACAUUAUAGAAAUAUAAUGAAGGUUAUCAGAAUUACAGGUGGUGCAUGGUUGUCGUCAGCUCGUGUCGUGAGAUGUUAGGUUAAGUCCUAAAACGAGCGCAACCCUUGUCGUUAGUUGCGACCACAUAAUGGUGAGCACUUUAGCGAGACUGCCAAUGAAAAAUUGGAGGAAGGUGAGGAUUACGUCAAAUCAUCAUGCCCCUUAUGAUCUGGGCUACAAACGUGAUACAAUGGCUGUUACAAAGAGUAGCUACAACGUGAGUUUUUAGCCAAUCUCAAAAAAACAGUCUCAGUUCGGAUUGAAGUCUGCAACUCGACUUCAUGAAGUUGGAAUCGCUAGUAAUCGCGAAUCAGCAUGUCGCGGUGAAUACGUUCUCGGGGUUUGUACACACCGCCCGUCAAACCACGAAAGUUGAUAAUACCCAAAACCGGUCGCCUAACUUCGUCAGAAGAGGGAACCGUCUAAGGUAGGGUCGAUGAGGGGGGGGUUAAGGA